GUCUAUGGCCAUGCCACCCUGAACGUGCCUGAUCUUAUCUGAUCUCAGAAGCUAAGCAGGGUCGGGCCUGGUUAGUACUUGGAUGGGAGACCACCUAGGAAGACCAGGUGCUGUAGGCA
This 119-nucleotide ribosomal RNA is filed under the name Pteropus alecto (black flying fox). The record is from RNAcentral. Lineage: Eukaryota; Metazoa; Chordata; Mammalia; Chiroptera; Pteropodidae.